AGAGUUUGAUCAUGGCUCAGAACGAACGCUGGCGGCAGGCUUAACACAUGCAAGUCGAACGGACAGUAUGUAGCUUGCUACAUACUGUUAGUGGCAGACGGGUGAGUAAUGUACAGGAAUCUACCGAGUAGUACGGAAUAGCCUCUGGAAACGGAGGGUAAUACCGAAUAAUCCCUGAGGGGCAAAGAUUUAUCGCUAUU
Molecule: ribosomal RNA, 200 nt
Filed under: uncultured bacterium
Lineage: Bacteria
Description: partial 16S ribosomal RNA
Rfam family: Bacterial small subunit ribosomal RNA
Source: RNAcentral